GCAGAGACCCAGGAGGAACAGACUUGCCGGGUCCUGCACUCCCAGCCAGCCAGUCUGGGACACCAAGCUACAGGACUAGAGGUAGGGACCUGGGUCACUGGGUCAUUCGCAGGGUCCCCACCAACCCUGCAGUUCUGUUUCAUUCCCCCUGUGUCCUCUCAGUUUCCAGACAGUGCUGUCUACCUCCCACCUUCUCCCUCUUUCUCCUUACAUCCUCCCCUGAUCCCUAAGGAAACCAAGUCCAUUCUUAGCUUCUGGGCUUCCCAAAGCCACCCCUCACCUGUCUUCCCAUCCCUGGGCCCUGCAACUCUCGGACGGGUCUCUCUGUUUGGCACAGAACCUCUCCCAAUGGCCCCUCUCCUUCCUAAAGCCUCUGACAAGCUUCCCCCUCCCUCUUUUAAGCCCCUGUGACCUCACUCCUUCCUGCUAAUCUCUGCACCAGGGUCAAAAAUUAACCAAAUUCACUAUCCCUAACCCCAGGGUUAGUAACCUGGAUCCUGGUCCCACCAUCCUUUAACCCAUCAGGCAGUCAUAUUUUUACACUGAUUUUGGAUAACUUUUUUGGUCUAAAGGAAGGCACAUUUUAUGAUGCCUUAAAAUUAUAUAAAUAUAUAUAUUUAGCAUAAGAAGGAUUGCAAAAGGCAAAAAAGAUAUCACCCACUGGUUCUAAUCUAUUACUUCCAAGGAACUUCGCCUGAUGGAACAUCCUUCAAGAAUAUGCUGGAAAAAAAUCACUAGCACCUUAGGGUGAGGGCAGAGACAUCAUUCUCCUAGGGAGAGUAAAAGUGGACAAGGAUCUUCAAAAUUGGCCUUAUUUCUCGUUGGAAACCUGAAGAAGGGUUUCACAUCCUUGGCACUACUGACAUUUUGGAUGGAUUAUUUUUCUUUGAGAGGGCUGACUGCAUUUCAGGAUGUUUAGCAGCAUCAUGGGCUCUAACUAUGAGAUGCCAGUAGCAUCCCCUCCCAGUUGUGACAAUGAAAAAUUCUCCAGACAUUGCCAAUUGUCUCCUGGGGGACCGAAUUGCCCCUCAUUGAGAACCGUGGAGCAAACAACAGGCAGGUUGUUGUCAUGUGACAGGGAAGAGAUUAGUGGCUCUGGAUAAUGUUCUAGAGCCUGGGGGGAGAAAUAUGAUUCCCUCAGACUCAAGUGGGGCCACUUCCCAGCUUGAGACCUAACCUUUGGCUGCGUGGCCUCCAGAACAGUGACCAUGGCUCAUGUCCAUUGAGCUUCACCAUGUUCCAGGCAUGUAACUAUAGAGUACAUCCCAUAGGUUAUGUAUCACACAUCACAUAAUCUCACCAUGCCAUGGGGAGGGGACGACACUGAGAUGUUGGGGGCGGGAGGGAAGGACUGAAAGCCUUCCUCCUGACUCCAUGAUUGAAUGUAUCUUCUUCCCCUUGGUUACCACUUUGUGGUAUGAAUGCAGACGAGUAUGGAGCUCAUGCCAUAAAGUCCCCAGUGUUCAAGACAUUUGCAAACAUUAAUAUGAACACUCUACAUUAUUUCCAGUCUUGAAUCCCCUUUGUCCUGGUUGGUGGAAAUGUAAUCCUCCUUCGUGAGGCUUUCCUGCCCAACAGACUGCCAGGGUCUCUGGGUCUUCUGCUGUGCCAAGACACCAUGGAGGGAUAGGCAGUGUAGGGAUGCUGCAGCCACCUGUCCACUCAGAUUACCACUGACAUAUUCACUGUUACUGUGUGGCCCAUUUGAGUCUGAUGGCUCACUACUUCUGCAUAGUGCUUGAGACUAGGACCCUUUUUCAAGGCUGCAUAUAGUCCCAGGUGCCAGGCUCUCUUUCCAAAGAGGGCCACAAUAAUAUCUUCCCUCCCACAUGUUCUUACAAAAUGACUUUGAAACUCCUCCUAUCAAUAGGUGAAGAAGGUCUUGUUGCUAUGAGACAAGUGACAUCAUGUGACCCCAAAGGCAGGUGCAG
RNAcentral lists this long non-coding RNA (1931 nucleotides) under Canis lupus familiaris (dog). RNAcentral describes it as "lncRNA (ENSCAFG00040000355.1)". Lineage: Eukaryota; Metazoa; Chordata; Mammalia; Carnivora; Canidae. The record is from RNAcentral.